GGUUUUAUAUUCAAUUAAUGAUUUUAAAUUGCAAAUUUAAAGGUGUAUUAUUAUACUAAAACCU
RNAcentral lists this transfer RNA (64 nucleotides) under Agramma hupehanum. RNAcentral's name for it is "tRNA-Cys". The record is from RNAcentral. Lineage: Eukaryota; Metazoa; Arthropoda; Insecta; Hemiptera; Tingidae.